RNAcentral lists this ribosomal RNA (1391 nucleotides) under metagenome. RNAcentral describes it as "bacterial LSU rRNA". It matches the Rfam family "Bacterial large subunit ribosomal RNA", at positions 1505 to 2925 of the family's 2925-position model. The record is from RNAcentral.
AGUUGGUUGAAAUGCGUAGGCGUUGAUUCGGUAGGCAAAUCCGCCGAUGAGCUGAAACAUGAUAGUACACUGAUCUCUUCGGAGUGAAGUGAUAGUGACUCCAAGCAGGCUUUCAAGAAAAACCUCUAAGCUUCAGAUAUGUACAGCCCGUACCGUAAACCGACACAGGUAGUCGAGGAGAAUAUCCUAAGGCGCUCGAGUGAGUCAUGGCUAAGGAACUAGGCAAAUUAGUCUCGUAACUUCGGGAGAAGAGACUCCCACAGCAAUGUGGGACGCAGAGAAAUGGCCCAGGCGACUGUUUAGCAAAAACACAGGACUCUGCAAAAUCGUAAGAUGAAGUAUAGGGUCUGACACCUGCCCGGUGCUGGAAGGUUAAGGAAGGGGGUUAGCGCAAGCGAAGCUCUUGACUGAAGCCCCAGUAAACGGCGGCCGUAACUAUAACGGUCCUAAGGUAGCGAAAUUCCUUGUCGGGUAAGUUCCGACCUGCACGAAUGGUGUAACGAUCUGGGCACUGUCCCAGCCAUGAGCUCGGUGAAAUUGAAGUAUCGGUGAAGAUACCGGUUACCCGCCACGGGACGAAAAGACCCCGUGCACCUUUACUAUAGCUUCACAUUGUGCUUGAAUAUAGGAUGUGUAGGAUAGGUGGGAGACUAUGAAGUGGUCACGCUAGUGAUUGUGGAGUCGUCCUUGAAAUACCACCCUUCCUAUAUUUAGGUUCUAACCCCGUAACCGGGGGACAGUGUGUGGUGGGUAGUUUGACUGGGGUGGUCGCCUCCUAAAGAGUAACGGUGGCUUGCAGAGGUACACUCAGCAUGGUUGGUAAUCAUGCGCAGAGCGUAUUAGUAUAAGUGUGCUUGACUGAGAGAUCGACGGAUCGAUCAGGGACGAAAGUCGGCUAAAGUGAUCCGGUGGUUCCGCAUGGAAGGGCCAUCGCUCAAAGGAUAAAAGGUACGCCGGGGAUAACAGGCUGAUCUCCCCCAAGAGCUCAUAUCGACGGGGAGGUUUGGCACCUCGAUGUCGGUUCGUCACAUCCUGGGGCUGGAGAAGGUCCCAAGGGUUCGGCUGUUCGCCGAUUAAAGUGGCACGUGAACUGGGUUCAGAACGUCGCAAGACAGUUCGGUCUCUAUCUGUGGUGGGCGUUGUAACAUUGAAGGGAGCUGACUCUAGUACGAGAGGACCGAGUCGGACGUACCGCUAGUGUAUCUGUUGUGCCGCCAGGUGCAGCGCAGAGUAGCUAUGUACGGACUAGAUAAGCGCUGAAAGCAUCUAAGCGCGAAGCUAUCCUUAAGAUGAGUGUUACAUGGGGUCGUAGAAGACUACUACGUUGAUAGGCUACAGGUGUAAGCGCAGUAAUGCGUUCCGCUGAGUAGUACUAAUUACCCCUAAGCUUC